UACAGAGGUGGCGAGCGUUAUUCGGAAUUAUUGGGCGUAAAGGGCGCGUAGGCGGCCACGCAAGUCUUGGGUGAAAUCCCUCGGCUCAACCGAGGAACUGCCUUGGAAACUGCAUGGCUCGAGGCCGGGAGAGGGUAGCGGAAUUCCCAGUGUAGCGGUGAAAUGCGUAGAUAUUGGGAGGAACACCGGUGGCGAAGGCGGCUACCUGGACCGGUUCUGACGCUGAUGCGCGAAAGCCAGGGGAGCAAACGGG
RNAcentral lists this ribosomal RNA (253 nucleotides) under uncultured bacterium. RNAcentral describes it as "partial 16S ribosomal RNA". It matches the Rfam family "Bacterial small subunit ribosomal RNA", at positions 524 to 776 of the family's 1533-position model. The record is from RNAcentral.